Molecule: ribosomal RNA, 343 nt
Filed under: uncultured cyanobacterium
Lineage: Bacteria; Bacillati; Cyanobacteriota
Description: bacterial SSU rRNA
Rfam family: Bacterial small subunit ribosomal RNA
Source: RNAcentral
GCUCUGCUGGACCGACUAACUAGACACUCAGGGACGGAAAGACGUAGGGGAAGGCGAAGUAGGGAGUUAAGUACUACCCCACGUAGUCCUACGACCGUAACGAAUGGAUACUAGGUGUUGUCUGUAGUCGACCCGGACAGUGCCGUAGCUAACGACGUUAAGUACUCCCGCCGUGGGAGGUACGCACGCAAGUGUGAAACUACAAGGAAUUCGACGGGGACCCGCACAAGGCGUGGAGUAUGUAGGUUUAAUUCGAUGACAACGCGAAACGUAACCGUAACCUAGGACUUGACAUGUCGACGAAUCCAGGUAGGAAACACGAGGAGUCGCCGUUCCGGGAAGG